UGGGGCAUAGCUCAGGGGUAGAAUGUGUGCUUUAGCAUGUGCAAGGUCCUGGGUUGGAUCCCCAGUACUACAA
Molecule: transfer RNA, 73 nt
Filed under: Marmota monax (woodchuck)
Lineage: Eukaryota; Metazoa; Chordata; Mammalia; Rodentia; Sciuridae
Description: tRNA.Undet
Source: RNAcentral